AUCCUUAGGGUGGUGCACUUCUAUUGAAUACUAAGGCAGAGAGACUAGAGGACACACACACAUGUGUUCCCUGUCUCUUGGCAUUGUAAUGCCCACGUGCCAUCUCUGGACUCUGCCAGUAAGAAGACCAACACCAGAUGCUGUCUCUUGCCUUUUGAACAGAAAUGAGCAGAAAGACCAAAGGAGCAGCACAAAAGGCCAAACAAGAGAGGGAAGCCUGGGAGCAGGAUUCAGAGCAAGACUCCUUCACAGAAGGAGGAGACUGGCAUUCGAACUUCAAUAGCAGCAAUCUAAGCAGGAAGAAGGCAUGGAUGGGAAGCAAAUUGAGUAGAUGCUGGAAGCUGGACUGAGUGGCAGCCUGAGCCAGAGAUGCACAGACACCACGUGAACAGCUCCUGAUGGGGACUGGGG
This is a long non-coding RNA of Heterocephalus glaber (naked mole-rat), 411 nucleotides long. Lineage: Eukaryota; Metazoa; Chordata; Mammalia; Rodentia; Bathyergidae. The record is from Ensembl.